Molecule: ribosomal RNA, 350 nt
Filed under: uncultured eukaryote
Lineage: Eukaryota
Description: SSU rRNA
Rfam family: Eukaryotic small subunit ribosomal RNA
Source: RNAcentral
CCAGCAGCCGCGGUAAUUCCAGCUCCAAUAGCGUAUAUUAAAGUUGUUGCAGUUAAAACGCUCGUAGUCUGAUGUAAUGGGGAGUGGAGUGGGGAGCAGCGAUGCUCUUUGCUUUGGUCCUCAUCAUAGGGACAGCAAUGUCCCAGUUUACUUUGAGGAAAUUAGAGUGUUCAAAGCAGGCGAAAUCGUCUUGAAUACAUUAGCAUGGGAUAAUAGAAUACGACCAUUGGUCAAACUUUAUUGGUUUCUGGGGCCAGGGUAAUGAUUAACAGGGACAGUUGGGGUCGCUUGUAUCCGGUGGUUAGAGGUGAAAUUCUAUGACCCAUCGGGGACAAACAAAUGCGAAGGCA